CCUAGUUAAGUUCUAAACCAAAUCUUAGAUCUUAAAUAAAUUCUUAAUAAAUCCAAUAGAAAAAUGGAACCUCAACAAGUAAUGAUCAAAACAUUGAUAUCAAUUUAAAAUUUACACACCUCUUAAUAUUUUAAUUAGAAACAAACAAAAGAAAGAUGAAAUUGAUUGCACUUACCAAUUGAGAAAAAUGCAAGAUAAUCCAAUUAGGUGUUAGGCAUCCUCUUA
Molecule: long non-coding RNA, 225 nt
Filed under: Physcomitrium patens
Lineage: Eukaryota; Viridiplantae; Streptophyta; Bryopsida; Funariales; Funariaceae
Description: long non-coding RNA (PPAT_LNC008268)
Source: RNAcentral